Molecule: ribosomal RNA, 423 nt
Filed under: uncultured bacterium
Lineage: Bacteria
Description: bacterial SSU rRNA
Rfam family: Bacterial small subunit ribosomal RNA
Source: RNAcentral
AACGAACGCUGGCGGCAUGCCUAACACAUGCAAGUCGAACGAGACCUUCGGGUCUAGUGGCGCACGGGUGCGUAACGCGUGGGAACCUGCCUUUAGGUUCGGAAUAACUCAGAGAAAUUUGAGCUAAUACCGGAUAAUGUCUUCGGACCAAAGAUUUAUCGCCUUUAGAUGGGCCCGCGUUGGAUUAGCUAGUUGGUGGGGUAAAGCCUACCAAGGCGACGAUCCAUAGCUGGUCUGAGAGGAUGAUCAGCCACACUGGGACUGAGACACGGCCCAGACUCCUACGGGAGGCAGCAGUGGGGAAUAUUGGACAAUGGGCGAAAGCCUGAUCCAGCAAUGCCGCGUGAGUGAUGAAGGCCUUAGGGUUGUAAAGCUCUUUUACCCGAGAUGAUAAUGACAGUAUCGGGAGAAUAAGCUCCGGCU